GGGGGAGUAGCUCAGUGGUAGAGCAUAUGCGUAGCAGGAGGAGGUCCUGGGUUCAAUCCCCAGUACCUCCA
RNAcentral lists this transfer RNA (71 nucleotides) under Camelus bactrianus (Bactrian camel). It matches the Rfam family "tRNA". From Rfam's summary of the family: Transfer RNA (tRNA) molecules are approximately 80 nucleotides in length. Lineage: Eukaryota; Metazoa; Chordata; Mammalia; Artiodactyla; Camelidae. RNAcentral also lists the same sequence under 2 other names. The record is from Rfam by way of RNAcentral.